CCCCACUCGCACUAUCAUUUUCCAUGUUCAGUGGACCGUGAAAUUGGGGUAAAAACUCUAAUUUGGCAUUUAAAUUAGAAAGAUCAUAUCAUAGGGAACAUGUCCACAAAGUUUGAAGUCGAUUGGACUUCAACUUCAUCAAAAACUACCUUGACCAAAAACUUUAACCUGGAGCGGGACAGACGGACGGACGGACGAACGGACGCACAGACCAGAAAACAUAAUGCCCCUCUACUAUCGUAGGUGGGG
RNAcentral lists this long non-coding RNA (249 nucleotides) under Mytilus galloprovincialis (Mediterranean mussel). The record is from RNAcentral. Lineage: Eukaryota; Metazoa; Mollusca; Bivalvia; Mytilida; Mytilidae.